RNAcentral lists this long non-coding RNA (424 nucleotides) under Nicotiana tabacum (common tobacco). RNAcentral describes it as "long non-coding RNA (NTAB_LNC003354)". The record is from RNAcentral. Lineage: Eukaryota; Viridiplantae; Streptophyta; Magnoliopsida; Solanales; Solanaceae.
GGGGGGCUCCUGACUUCAACCAAUAAAUUGCCAUUCUAUUCUUCAGGGGGGCUCCUGACUUUAACAACUUCUUUUUUUUUAUAAAAUUCAAACUUCUUUUUUUUUUCAAAUUAUCCUAGGAGAAAAUUUAUCAGACUAGGAUUUGAUAUCUUAUCUUAGGAGAAAGAUUCAUCGGACUAAGAUUUGAUAUCUUAUCUUGGGAGAAAUAUUUCAUCAGACCAAGAUUUUGACUCUAGGAGAUAAAUCGUCAGACUAGGUCCAUUUGUUGUGAUCUUAGGAGAAAGAUUCUUCCGACUAAGAUUUUAUCUUGGGAGAAAAAUUUAAUCAGACCAAGAUUUUGACUCUAGGAGAUAUAUCGUCAGACUAGGUCCAUUUGUUGUGAUCUUAGGAGAAAGAUUCAUCCGACUAAGAUUUUAUCUUGGGA